AACGAACGCUGGCGGCAGGCCUAACACAUGCAAGUUGAACGUGAAGCCACUUCGGUGGUGGAAAGUAGCGCACGGGUGAGUAACGCGUGGGAAUUUACACUUCAGUACGGAACAACAGUUGGAAACGACUGCUAAUACCGUAUAAUGACUCCGGUCCAAAGAUUUAUCGCUGAAGGAUAAGCCCGCGUCUGAUUAGCUAGUUGGUGAGGUAAAGGCUCACCAAGGCGACGAUCAGUAGCUGGUUUGAGAGGAUGACCAGCCACACUGGAACUGAGACACGGUCCAGACUCCUACGGGAGGCAGCAGUGAGGAAUAUUGGACAAUGGGCGAAAGCCUGAUCCAGCCAUGCCGCGUGAGUGAAGAAGGCCUUCGGGUUGUAAAGCUCUUUCAAUCGUGAAGAUAAUGACGGUAGCGAUAGAAGAAGCUCCGGCUAACUCAG
RNAcentral lists this ribosomal RNA (439 nucleotides) under uncultured Alphaproteobacteria bacterium. RNAcentral's name for it is "bacterial SSU rRNA". It matches the Rfam family "Bacterial small subunit ribosomal RNA", at positions 29 to 505 of the family's 1533-position model. Lineage: Bacteria; Pseudomonadati; Pseudomonadota; Alphaproteobacteria. The record is from RNAcentral.